This 345-nucleotide unclassified non-coding RNA is filed under the name Basidiomycota sp. Its description in RNAcentral is "partial contains small subunit ribosomal RNA, internal transcribed spacer 1, and 5.8S ribosomal RNA". The stretch from base 1 to 47 matches the Rfam family "Eukaryotic small subunit ribosomal RNA", at positions 1785 to 1831 of the family's 1831-position model. Lineage: Eukaryota; Fungi; Basidiomycota. The record is from RNAcentral.
AAAGUCGUAACAAGGUUUCCGUAGGUGAACCUGCGGAAGGAUCAUUACAAGUCUUAGUGUAGGGAGGGUGUGUGAGUGCGUGGUGUGGAUGUGGAUGCGUGCGUUGUGGGGGGUGGGAUUCUCCUAAUCCGGGUGGGAUUCUCUAACCCGAGCUUUAAAAGUUUAAGGCCAAAGCUUGAAUAAAGCAGUGCCUAAAGCUAAAAGCUGGUGGAUCUCCCUCCCCUCAUCCCCUAAGCUCUCCACCACCUCUUCCCCCUCCCGAUACAUACACGCGUGUUGUGUUUGACAGAGUUAUAUAUAUCAUACAUGAAUCUAAAACUUUUAACAAUGGAUCUCUUGGCUCUC